This is a long non-coding RNA of Xenopus tropicalis (tropical clawed frog), 1480 nucleotides long. RefSeq lists it as uncharacterized. The record is from RefSeq and is a predicted model, not a curated record. The transcript has 2 exons. NCBI's taxonomy places the organism in Eukaryota, Metazoa, Chordata, Amphibia, Anura, Pipidae.
AGUCCCAGGACACGUGGAGGAAAAAAUGGUUUCCCUUCGUUGCGUACCAGAAUGGUAUAAUUAUUCCAUGGGAAGAAACCAAACUGGAAGAGGGCAAUUGACAUACCUCAGUAAAAAUGAUAGCAGUCAUCCAGAAGCGCUUACUGGGUUUGUGGAUGGACAGCAUACCCCACAGGAAGAUGAGAAUUGGAAGGAACAGUGAUAUCAGGGAAGCGCUCACCAUGUUGUUGAGAAUGAUGAUGAAGUAACAAAGCAGCUCAGAGUGAGCAGCCACAAAGUUAUAGAGGGCCAACAGGAGCCUCAGAAUACGACUCUGAGACUGAAAGAAGUGCUGAGACUCGGAGAGCUCUGGGAAAUCAAGUGGCCUGAGAAGAGAUCAUGCAAGCAAUUAUAGCAUUACAAGAAUUAUUUUAAAUUGAAGCUGAUGUGAAGGAAAAAAAAAUAAAGAUAACUAGGCAUCUGCUCCCUAGAUUGUAGUAAUCUCCAAGUCUGCACCAUGUGGUCAGCAGGACUGAAGGCACAUUUUCUAUUAAGAUUUGUUUGUCUCCAUAUUCUUUCUUCACUUAUAUAAAAGUUUGAUAUUAUAAAGCAAUAUGGACAAAUUCCAUCAAAUAAGUGCCAGUUCCAAUACCAUAACUUGGUCUCGUACUUCUGGUUAGUAGCUUUGCAAACCCAGGCUAAUAUCCUCAUUCAGACUUUUAAGGGCCAUGGCACACAGGGAGAUUUGAUGAUAAAUCUGUGCUAUCUUGGGUGACAAAUUUCCUGAGAAUGCUUUCCCACCAGCAAUAAUGUAUAUCACCAGUGGAAAAGGUUAUUUUAAUUUUCCAAAACACCUACUACAUUAUCAUUAUUUGAGUAAUAAGUAAUAAUUUUUUAGCAAUACCUGUAUAACAAUAGGUUUUCCCAGUUCAGACUGUGCACUCUUUAUUUCAUACUAACAAGGAGCAAAUAUAGCAAGUCUAUAAAGGGAGUAUGGGAGAAAGCAAGGAUACCACCACACCUGGAAAGCAGCAAUUCACUAGCAGUACGAGAACGAUGACUUGGCUUGAUUUCCGGAAACCCCCUAAUAGAGUCCAAGCUGUUACUUCGUGUGUUGUACCCGGUGCUGAGUUGUGUUAUAUUUUCCGUACACUCUGCUGUGCUGCAGAUAAGCUCCUCUUCCUCACAGCCACUGCAGAGGAAAAACACAAUUUUCCCAUUCACUCCCUAAGGGCUUUGUCACAUUCUUUGUGGCAUUCUUCCGAAAUUGUAAUAUAUUAAAGCAUAAAACCUGCCUGUGGAAAGUAAAAGCAUUUCUCUAAAUUACCUGUGAUUCUUUCUCCUCCCUUUUUUAACCAACCUUUGUACUUAUUCAAGUUCACCACAACAUUAUGUUAAUUUAAACUUCAUCAUGUGGAUUAUAACUACAAACCAUGUAUAGAAAAGUAUGCUACAAUGAACACUGGGAUCUAAACAGAGGGCAUUAAAAAUUGGUAUUGCA